UCAGGAGCUGGAAAUCAAUUUUUAAAUUUGAUGGAUCCUUCAAAGAUUAAAGAGGCUAUGGAAAGCCUGUGGCAUAGGUGUGCUUUGAAGUGGAGAAUGUACCUGCAUGUCACUGAUGCAAAGUAAAACACUGCUUCAUGUUCCUAACUGCACAGGACCUGUUGAGGAGCCAAGAGUAUAUCAGCCCAGCUGUAUGGACUGCUUUAAUUGAGCCACAUGGUUCUCAGUUGUUUACACAACCUUCUGGAGCACUUGUGGACCAAGCUUGUAUCUGCCCACAAGAGAGCAAGGAGAGGAUUCACACCAGUCCAUUCACUCUGUGCCACUCCACGUGGCUGUUCCUCCCCGUUCAUGAGAAGUUGCUGCAAAUGAGCCAGUGCCCUCUUCCAUUCCCCCAGGAUGUUGUAGAGAAGAAAAGCCCACACACAGGUAGGAUGGCUGUGACAUACAGCUCCAUGAUGUGCUGCUUCUGGAAAAGGGGAUGGGGAAU
Molecule: long non-coding RNA, 490 nt
Filed under: Anser brachyrhynchus (Pink-footed goose)
Lineage: Eukaryota; Metazoa; Chordata; Aves; Anseriformes; Anatidae
Description: lncRNA (ENSABRG00000004665.1)
Source: RNAcentral